RNAcentral lists this non-coding RNA (25 nucleotides) under Cricetulus griseus (Chinese hamster). The record is from RNAcentral. Lineage: Eukaryota; Metazoa; Chordata; Mammalia; Rodentia; Cricetidae.
UUGGUGAUAUAGUAGAAUCUGUGGC